This 240-nucleotide ribosomal RNA is filed under the name uncultured bacterium. RNAcentral's name for it is "partial 16S ribosomal RNA". It matches the Rfam family "Bacterial small subunit ribosomal RNA", at positions 117 to 353 of the family's 1533-position model. The record is from RNAcentral.
GUGAGCAACCUGCCUUUCAGUGGGGGACAACAUUUGGAAACGAAUGCUAAUACCGCAUAAGACCACAGUGUCGCAUGGCACAGGGGUCAAAGGAUUUAUCCGCUGAAAGAUGGGCUCGCGUCCGAUUAGCUAGAUGGUGAGGUAACGGCCCACCAUGGCGACGAUCGGUAGCCGGACUGAGAGGUUGAACGGCCACAUUGGGACUGAGACACGGCCCAGACUCCUACGGGAGGCAGCAUG